Molecule: ribosomal RNA, 253 nt
Filed under: uncultured bacterium
Lineage: Bacteria
Description: partial 16S ribosomal RNA
Rfam family: Bacterial small subunit ribosomal RNA
Source: RNAcentral
UACGGAGGGUGCAAACGUUGCUCGGAAUCAUUGGGCGUAAAGCGUGCGUAGGCGGCUUGGAAAGUCGGGUGUGAAAGCCCUCGGCUUAACCGAGGAAGUGCAUUCGAAACUUCCAGGCUUGAAUACCGGAGAGGAUGACGGAAUUCCCGGUGUAGAGGUGAAAUUCGUAGAUAUCGGGAGGAACACCAGUGGCGAAGGCGGUCAUCUGGACGGAUAUUGACGCUGAGGCACGAAAGCGUGGGGAGCAAACAGG